Molecule: long non-coding RNA, 1945 nt
Organism: Oncorhynchus masou masou (cherry salmon)
Lineage: Eukaryota; Metazoa; Chordata; Actinopteri; Salmoniformes; Salmonidae
Exons: 3
Source: RefSeq, a predicted model, not a curated record
AAGAAAUUCCACAACAAUAACCUGAGCUAUUAAGUAAAAAGCUCUUUAGGAAAAAAUUAAGAAUGUUCAAUGGGUACUCAUCCACUCCCGAUGUGCCUUUGCUCCUCAGAGGGCAAAGUAUCUCCCCUCCUCUCUCGUCUGUAGCUGUGGUUCCUCUGCAUCCGACCCUUGUCCAGCUUGCUCUCUGGUUAUCAUCGCAGUCCCCUCAGAGAGUCCCUGGUGCAGACAUCCGGGAUGACUGGGCCAUUUUCCACAAGGGUUCACCACGACCACUGAAUCUGGGUUAAUGACAGUAGUCUGCAGUACAAACAUCAACACUACACUACACUAAGAUAGAUCUGCUUUUGAUACCAUUUAUAUCUUUAUCAUAAAGUCAUUAGUGAUUUUAUUUUUGCCCAUCCAUUGAUGUCAAUAAGUAGGGCAGUAAGGAAAGAGGAAGAGUUUUCUGUGGCAUGUCUCUUGGGAAGACCCAUCUGCUUUGGGAAGACCCAUCUGGCAGUUGUCUGUAGACUAAUAUGUGGGUCCUUUAGAAAACACACAGAAUUAAAAAAAAAAAAAAUUCUAAUCAAGGCACAAAAGAAAAAAUAAUCAUCUACUCCCACUUACAGUAGUAUAAUCAAUAAAGACUAUCUGCUGUAUUGGCUCCUCUAGUGUCUAAAAUGAGUUUAAGCAAAAAAGGAGGUAUAGAAGGAAUUUUCAUCUUGAGAAGCCUCUUCAUCUUGACACACAACCCUUAACAUUCACAGUGCUGUACAAAAUAUGCUGUGACUAACCACUGUAUCUGUGUCUCAUCAGUGGCUCAUCAUGGCUAAGUGUUUUAUGUAUGUAUUUAUACAGCUCUAAACAAACUGAGAGGCAAAAUACACAAUAGGGAGAAAGAAAGAGAGAGAAAGUGUAUAUUUGCCAGACAGGAUGACGUGAAUCUCCCUACAUGUACAGUAUACUGCAUGUUAUCAGUCAACUACUUCUGUUUUACGUAUGGGAAGCAUUGCUUUGGGAGACAAAUCUACCCUGCAUAAAUUACUACCCAACUUCCUCAUAAUCUCUCUCUCUGUGACUAUUUCUGAACUUCCUGCUGCUAGUUUUAACCCUCAGCAACAACAACCCAACCAGACUACCUCCUGUCUGGGGCUUGACCUCUGAAGCUGACCUGAGAUUCCUCUGUACUGAAGAUGACUUUAAAGAGACGACUGCUGUCCAUUUUGUUGUGUUGUGUCUACUGUGUCGCUUCGCUCUUCUGCUUGAACCCCAACCGCAACAACUGUGGCUCCAUCAGCGCUCGGAAUCUCAUGACAGUUGCCCAGCAGCUGUACCAACGAGUCAUGAGGCUAAUGCGCACCACUCUCUGAUCCUAUGGAGCCGGAGUUGAGUCCCUCAACACUAAUCAUCACCAGGACUGAGACACUCUCCUGCCUUACCCUGUCCAUACAAUGGAGAUGACCUGCAGAGCACCUGCCAUCGACAGAGCAAGAGGACGAAAAGCUCUCAUUACAGUUCACCGUAAUAAAGCAGGAGAUAGUUUUUUAAAAAUGUCAAUGUUUUAUUGAUGCAAAUAGAUUUUGUUGAGAUCCUAGUGGGCCUUAACUGCAUAAGCGUUGUGUUAGUGCCCCAAUUUCCCUGCAUUAUAAUGUAAGUGCUGGAAAAGCCGUUUGCAGGAUAAUUCAAAGAUGUCAUUAAUUUCAUGCCCUCUUGUGGAAAACUGAUCAGUUAUUUCUGCAUGAUAAAAAAAAUUAUGCUUUCAAUGAGCUUCAAUGCUAUCCCUGGACAUGGAAAAUAUUCCUUGCUGGAAUUGAUGUGAUUGAGUUUAGUUAAAUCUACUACAUGAAUGCAUAUAGUGCAGUAUGUCUUCAUAGAAUAAUACGAAAAAAUGUUCCUUGUGCAAAUUAUGAUAAGAUAGGCUAUGUUUAAAAAAUGUGUACCACUUGAUUAGCUAAAUGUUAUAACA